Molecule: ribosomal RNA, 359 nt
Filed under: uncultured Methanomicrobiales archaeon
Lineage: Archaea; Methanobacteriati; Methanobacteriota; Methanomicrobia; Methanomicrobiales
Description: bacterial SSU rRNA
Rfam family: Archaeal small subunit ribosomal RNA
Source: RNAcentral
GAGAGGAGGUGCAUGGCCGUCGUCAGUUCGUACUGUGAAGCAUCCUGUUAAGUCAGGCAACGAGCGAGACCCACGCCAACAGUUGCCAGCUCGUCCUCCGGGGAUGGUGGGGACGACUGUUGGGACCGCCUCUGCUAAAGAGGAGGAAGGAAUGGGCAACGGUAGGUCAGCAUGCCCCGAAUUAUCUGGGCUACACGCGGGCUACAAUGGGUGGGACAAUGGGUAUCGACACCGAAAGGUGAAGGCAAUCUCCUAAACCCAUCCGUAGUUCGGAUUGUGGGCUGCAACUCGCCCACAUGAAGCUGGAAUCUGUAGUAAUCGUGUCUCAAAAUGGCACGGUGAAUAUGUCCCUGCUCCUU